RNAcentral lists this microRNA (22 nucleotides) under Xenoturbella bocki. Its description in RNAcentral is "Xbo-Novel-6_5p (mature (guide))". The record is from RNAcentral. Lineage: Eukaryota; Metazoa; Xenacoelomorpha; Xenoturbellidae.
GGUAGGGUAGAACUAACCUGUC